UCCGAGUUGACCCCGGCAGUCUCCCAUGAGUCCCCGGCACUACCCGCUGGCAACAUGGGACGAGGGUUGCGCUCGUUGCGGGACUUAACCCAACAUCUCACGACACGAGCUGACGACAACCAUGCACCACCUGUACACCGACCUUGCGGGGCAACCAUCUCUGGAAGUUUCCGGUGUAUGUCAAGCCUUGGUAAGGUUCUUCGCGUUGCAUCGAAUUAAUCCGCAUGCUCCGCCGCUUGUGCGGGCCCCCGUCAAUUUCUUUGAGUUUUAGCCUUGCGGCCGUACUCCCCAGGCGGGGCACUUAAUGCGUUUGCUGCGGCACAGAGCCCGUGGAAUGGACCCCACACCUAGUGCCCAACGUUUACGGCAUGGACUAC
Molecule: unclassified non-coding RNA, 377 nt
Filed under: uncultured Cellulomonadaceae bacterium
Lineage: Bacteria; Bacillati; Actinomycetota; Actinomycetes; Micrococcales; Cellulomonadaceae
Description: contains 16S-23S intergenic spacer region
Source: RNAcentral